This 1243-nucleotide ribosomal RNA is filed under the name uncultured bacterium. RNAcentral describes it as "bacterial SSU rRNA". It matches the Rfam family "Bacterial small subunit ribosomal RNA", at positions 8 to 1211 of the family's 1533-position model. The record is from RNAcentral.
AGAGUUUGAUCCUGGCUCAGGACGAACGCCUUUGGCGUGCCUAAUACAUGCAAGUCGAGCGAGCUUGCCUAGAUGAUUUUAGUGCUUGCACUAAAUGAAACUAGAUACAAGCGAGCGGCGGACGGGUGAGUAACACGUGGGUAACCUGCCCAAGAGACUGGGAUAACACCUGGAAACAGAUGCUAAUACCGGAUAACAACACUAGACGCAUGUCUAGAGUUUGAAAGAUGGUUCUGCUAUCACUCUUGGAUGGACCUGCGGUGCAUUAGCUAGUUGGUAAGGUAACGGCUUACCAAGGCAAUGAUGCAUAGCCGAGUUGAGAGACUGAUCGGCCACAUUGGGACUGAGACACGGCCCAAACUCCUACGGGAGGCAGCAGUAGGGAAUCUUCCACAAUGGACGAAAGUCUGAUGGAGCAACGCCGCGUGAGUGAAGAAGGGUUUCGGCUCGUAAAGCUCUGUUGGUAGUGAAGAAAGAUAGAGGUAGUAACUGGCCUUUAUUUGACGGUAAUUACUUAGAAAGUCACGGCUAACUACGUGCCAGCAGCCGCGGUAAUACGUAGGUGGCAAGCGUUGUCCGGAUUUAUUGGGCGUAAAGCGAGUGCAGGCGGUUCAAUAAGUCUGAUGUGAAAGCCUUCGGCUCAACCGGAGAAUUGCAUCAGAAACUGUUGAACUUGAGUGCAGAAGAGGAGAGUGGAACUCCACGUGUAGCGGUGGAAUGCGUAGAUAUAUGGAAGAACACCAGUGGCGAAGGCGGCUCUCUGGUCUGCAACUGACGCUGAGGCUCGAAAGCAUGGGUAGCGAACAGGAUUAGAUACCCUGGUAGUCCAUGCCGUAAACGAUGAGUGCUAAGUGUUGGGAGGUUUCCGCCUAUCAGUGAGGCAGCUAAUGCACUAUGCUCUCCGCCAUGGGGAGAACGACAGCUAGCUUGAAACUCAAAGGAAUUGCAGGGGGCCGGCUCAAGCGGUGGAGCAUGUGGUUCAAUUGGAAGCAACGCGAAGAACCUUAACAGGUCUUGACAUCCAGUGCACACCUAAGAGAUCAGUUGUUCCAUUCGGGGACGAUGACACAGGUGGUGCAUGGCUGUAGUUAGCUGGUGUCAUGAGAUGCUUGGGUUAAGUCCCGCACCGAGCGCAACCCUUGUCCUAGUUGCCAUCAUCCAGUUGGUCACUCUAAUGAGUCUGCCGGUGACAAACCGGAGGAAGGUGGGGAUGAGGUCACGUCAUCAUGCCCCUCAUGACCUG